GCACAAGCCUUUCGCCUUUUACUAAAGACUUCCGUGGAGAGGAACACUUACGAGUUCAACGUAUUUUUGGAGCGGCUUUGCUUCUUGCAGAGCCCGGUAUCUUGUUUCAAGGGAAAUUGACAGAGAUGGGCCAGGAUAGUGACUUAAAGACGCAUUAGCGACUUUUUCCAAAAAACACCUGCCUGUUUGUUGCCAGGGAAACGGUGGGUGGGUGGGUUGGUUGAGUGAGUGGGGGUUGGAGGGAGAGAGGAGCUGGCUUUUGCCAACCCACCCGCUGAGGUCUGUCGAGACCCCCGGGGGUCCGGCGGUUUCAGGGUUCCAUUUGUGGGUUAUCGCUUCUCGGCCUUUUGGCUCAGAUCAAGCUUGGUACCGAGGUGCCCCAAAGCCCGCUUAGUCAAAAGGUAGAACCAGGAGAGCGGUAAGUGUGUUUUUUUGUUUUUGAAAAUUUUUUGAUAUAUAAUUUCUUGUCUUCUUUGUAUUUUCUUGUUUUUUGGAAGAGGUUGGUGAACCGGGU
Molecule: long non-coding RNA, 514 nt
Filed under: Oncorhynchus mykiss (rainbow trout)
Lineage: Eukaryota; Metazoa; Chordata; Actinopteri; Salmoniformes; Salmonidae
Description: lncRNA (ENSOMYG00000060135.1)
Rfam family: U5 spliceosomal RNA (bases 1-94)
Source: RNAcentral